This is a long non-coding RNA of Gallus gallus (chicken), 1774 nucleotides long. NCBI's taxonomy places the organism in Eukaryota, Metazoa, Chordata, Aves, Galliformes, Phasianidae. The record is from Ensembl.
UUUCUCUCUCUCUCUCUUUUUUUUUUUCCCCCCUUUACAUUCCACAGCCCGGUCCUGCCAUGUUUGUGGGGAGAGUUGGGCCGCGCCGCCCGGCCUCUCCCCAUGCGCGUGUGUGUGAGGCCUAAAACAAAGCGGCCGUGUCAAAGUGCCCCUGGUGAGAUGGAAGGGCUCCCGGCGGGCGGGAGGGCUCCCGCAUCCCGACGUUAUUUCUUCCAGGAGCAGUGGAAGCGUUUGGAUCCCUCCUUGCAAACUUUUGUGUCGCGGUAUCUCCGCUGUCAGCCUCCCGGGUUGGAGCUGCGGGGAUAUCCAGCAUUUGGAUUUUCCCCUCUUUGCCGAAGUACCUUUGUGAAGUCCUGAGCUGAGAGCGGCGGAACGGAGCAAAGCGCUCAAAAUCAGCGUUGAUAGCUUAGCGUGGGGGCUUUGUCUGGCUGCAGCAUCCGUCUGCUGUGUGAGCUGAGCAGAAAGCGACCACUUUGCUGAUGGUCUUUUUGAAUGCACGUGGUUUAUAGCUCCUAAGGUGGUGCUUGUAAAGCACCCUGCUUGCUGGGGUGGGGGUUGCUCCAGGUUAGGGGACUCACUGAGGUGCAUUUCCCAUAUAGGGGCUGUGAGGUUUUCCAAGCGCCCUCCGAAUGUACUGUGAAGUGACACGGCUCACUCUUCCCUUCUGCAGACAUUUGGAUUCUUCUCCUAUAACUGAAUCACGUGCAUGCAUACACGCCAAGAAGAGUAAAGCUCGGUGAGUUGUGCGGAGCUCUCUGGAGGCAGCAAGGGGAAGAAAUGACAACCAGAAGCAAACUGGAGAUGGAUGCAAGGGAUGCAUCAUUGUGGAACAGAAAAUUGGUUCUCCAAACAAACUGCUCCAAGUGAGUGGAUGGAUGGGGAGAUGUCUGACAUUAACAACAUGUAACUGCUUUCUGAAAACCCUGGGAUACCUGAAAGCCUUAAGAAGGAGUGCUGCUGCAGUUGCAAAGUGAUAGAAUGAAGUCAAUACCCAAAAUGAUGCUGCAGCCACAUCUGGAGUUUGCUUCAGGUGGAGUGCUUUAACUCUCUGAAAGGGAACGUCGCACAUCUCGGGGUCGUCUUAAAGAGAAACAGAAGAUGCAGAGGAGUACAUCCGAGAAAAGCACUUUAUUCCCUCAGCACAGAUUGACUCCCCAGGUCCCACCUGGAGCAGAACUUUCCGUGCAGUUCCCCCAGCACAGCUCUGGUACAUCCAUGCAGGAUUGGACUUACUGAGGGGUUUGCCUUCAUUUCUCCUUCUGCCCACUUUGGGGUGCCCGCAUUACCUGCAGCCACACGUCCUGCAUUGCUGCCUUGCCUCUGUUGUACCGCAUUCUGCUGAAAAAUACAUAGAAUGAAAAUGAUUUCCCACUUGUAAGGGCAGAAUAAAUAGAAAUACUUGCAGAUAAUGAUGCAGUUUUUUCCUCAGUGUCACCGAAAAACUUAACUCGGUUUUGUUUUCUCAAUCAUCCCUCUGUGUUUGCACUUCUCUGUUAAACAGCAACUGAGAACAAACCGAGAAUAAAAGUGGAGAGCGUUUUUAUUACAAAGGAUUUCACCUUUCUGUCAUUUUUGUACUAAAACAGAUCUGAAACUGCCAUCCACCUCUUCAGUUCAAUUUUUGUUUCACUGCAUUGGAGAAACUUUUAUAUAGAAAAACGAGAUGGAUAACCUUUGUUUCUCUGCAUUUUCUGUGUGUCCUCUCCUAAAUGAGACCAAUCUACACAUGGAAUGGGGAAUUACUUGUGGUCAGAAAUAAACAGCAAUGGCAUGA